This is a long non-coding RNA of Rattus norvegicus (Norway rat), 14098 nucleotides long. RefSeq lists it as uncharacterized. The record is from RefSeq and is a predicted model, not a curated record. Lineage: Eukaryota; Metazoa; Chordata; Mammalia; Rodentia; Muridae.
CAAAGCUUGUUUAUUUACGCAGGGUUGUAUGGCCAACACGGUAACCAAAAAUAAUUAACCCAGUUAAUAUUUGUCCGGACGAUGAGGCAAUAGUCUGAGGUGAUCUCGUGUCGCUAUGACCUGACAAAACACCCAGAGGGCAAACAGACAAAGUCCUAAAAGUUCCACGUUUUGCUGGGGUUACGGGAAAGCAAGGUGACGUUUCUUGUACGGGGGAAAAAAUGUGUCAGCGUGUUCCAUUUAGCAACCUUUCCACCAUGACACGCUCCCAUGAAGACUAUGUGUGAGGGAAUGCGUUUGUACCCUACACUUCCUGAAAGGCUCUGAUGUGCUGAAUGGCGGGAGGGGGUGUGGCUGCAUGGGAAGUCAUGUGAGUUAAUAAUACUUGAAUACUGCAUUUAAUAACAAAUAUCGGAAUUUAACCAUCAAAGACAAGGAAAGGCCAUGUCAAUCCGUACAAGAAAAAAAAUAUCUACAAAAGGGAUGACCACUGCCUCCCCACCCCUCCAGAAGUAAUUCAUAGCCAGGCCUCAAUUCCACUCACUUAGGCUGUACAGCCAACCGGAUAUCCUAGCCAACAGCCUUAUAGAUCCCCGACCUCAUUGUGCCAAGAGCCCUGGCCUUCUAGCCUUACCCUGUGUAUAUUAUUGUCUAAGUAGAUACAAGGUCGCUCUGAGACCUGAAACCCAACAGUGUGGUUGAUGGCAGGGUCAGUGGACCAGAGCAGGCAGCCAGCUGGGUUACAGUGGAUGGACAGUUGAGUAGAACAAAGACCACGAUCGAUGCCACCACUGCCAUAGAGACUGGUGUGACUCGGGCAAAAUGCAACUGGCCAGGUCUCCUUUCCAGGAACUGGUGAAUGCCGUCACUGGGGCGUCCCCAACCUGGACGCUACGAACCAAUAGGCUCCUUGGUUCCUGCUUCUGGGCGAGGUGGGUCAAUGGUAAGUACAUCAGGAACUGGCCGCCCAACAGGAUUCCGGACCUGCAGCCCAGGGACAGGGCCACCUGCACAACCAAGUCAGGAUGUUUCCUCAUGGCAGGUCUGGGGUCAGGCUGGACUUAUUUUUGAGCAACUCAGUUCGGGGUUCUCGCUGGCCGGAGAAUUUGGCCAGUGGCCGGCACUACACGAAGUCGUUGGAAUCCCCAACAAGAUGAUCCGAUGCCAUACCCAGCCUUUGUCUUUCCUGCUGCCGCUGACCAGUCUCUGUCCUUCCGCUGUAGAGCCUGCUGCUCAGCUCAGCCCCAGGAGAAGAGACAAAUCAGCAGGCUCUUCCAUUCUACCAAGUACAUCAGAGCUGGUCUCUCGGCCAGUCACCUGGCUUCCCUCGAGAUUCCUAUAUACAUAGGGAGCCUUUGGAUCACAGUCAUGGGUUCCUCCCAACUGUCCUCUGGCCUUACCUAGCUAGCGUCUGAGCCCCAACUCUGAGCCGGGACCCUUCAGCCUUGGCUGCACAGUGGAAACCCUGGGUUGAAGAUGGUCUAGCUUGGCCACACUCUGCUCACAGAGCCUGACCACAUGGCACACAGACUGCAGCUAUAGCCUGGCUCGGUUGCUCACUCCGACCUGACCACUGUCUGCUGCUGGGAGGUCCCUCUCCGGACCCUUUUUCCUCAUGUGCGUCUCAGUGUUUUCUCAUUCCUCACCUCAUCCUGGGCGGAACUGCUCUUACAACGGAGGAAACUCUACUGCUCUAAAGGCAAACAGUUUCUCUGAAGGCAUCCUAAUCAGAAGACUAGCUGCUGCUGGGGCUGUGUUCACCGGCUGCCCUCCCUCCUUCUCAGGCAUCCCAUGUUCCAAGAGACAGAGGCCUCAACUUACCUGUGCUGCCCAGAGGUAGUCCAGCCGUAGCCUGACGUCCACCUGCCUGGCGUGCAGGGCCAGCGUGCAUGAGAACAGCAGGAUAGCCAUGAUGGGCUCAUAGCUGCGCCCAGAGAGGGCACCGCCCCUGAAGAGGUGGAGGAGAAACCCCAUCAGUGGUGGCUUCCAGGCAAAACAUGGCCAUGGAAACCUAGGUCUGGGCAGAGGGCCAUCUUGGGACAGUGAGGCAGCUUGUAGGCCUGACCCCAGACCUGACUCUCAUCUCAGCCAGAAGGUAGAGGCUUUGCUGGAGUCUGAACUAAAGGAGAGAAACAGAAAAGCUGCCAACCUGACAAAAAAGUUGAUAUAUUUGGUUCUCACUGGCUUGCUAAUUGUUGCACAUGGCUGUGUGUGUGCACAUGGCUGUGUGUGUACACGUGCACACGUGCGUGAGUGCGCGAGUCUGUGUCUGUGUCUAUAUUCGUGUGUCUGUGUGAAAGAGAUAGAGAAGAAGGGAGAAAGCACUGUGGCUAUAGAGUUAAUAACUGAGGAAAUAACUACGAACAGCUAAUUAAUGCAAAUUAUCAGAGGAGGAUGAUAAUUAGCAUCGCCCUGUUUAGAGGGUUUUCCGAGGAGUGCCACACUCACCCAACCUUGGUGUAUCCACUGAGCUCCAGGACAAGGAUGUAGGAAGUCGUCAGCCCAGACAGCAGGAUCAUCUUUGGCAAGGAGGACACCCGCAGGAAUAUGGCUAGUGGGAGGGUGCCCACCAGGCAGCAGAGCAGGCCAUGGUGUGCAGACUCACAGGGCAGGGCAGGCAGCACAGUGCGCCGGCCACCAGCUGCGAGGACCACUAGGGAGCUGUUGGAGUGAGAGCUCCAGGCCCAAGGCAGACAGCUCACCUGGGAAACAAGGGCGUAAAGGUUUACGAGGACCAAGUAUGGCCAUCCCCAGAAUGUCCAAGUGUCCCAGGCUCACUGACCCCCUGGUAUUCUGCAGUUGCCACUCUCCUGCCUCAGACUGCCUUUGCUGCUGCACCCUACAAAGACCCCAGCUGUCUACAGUGAGGGCUGGGGGUGAGCAAGGGGAACCAGGUAGUGCUAGCCUGGUCUCCAAGGCUGACAACUUUAUCCCGUGUCACGGCUCCCCCUACUCCUCCCACCCCAGCUCUGUCUCCUAACUCCUGGCUUCUUCAGUCUGUUGCCCCUGCCCCUGUGCAUGUCAGAAGUCAGUGGUACUCACCACACAUCCUUGAGCUACUGAGUAGAUUAAGACCACGAUGAACACACACAGAGCGGUGCGGAUCUGGAUGGUCAGGCACCCUGGAAAACACUAAACGGAAAACACCUCACUUGAGGGUUAGGGGUUCAGCUCGGCAGCAGAGUCAUGGUCUAGCGUGUAGAAGGCUCUAGGUCGUAACCCCUGUAACAUGCGCUGGGGUCGGGAGAACAAGGAGGAAGGAAGGGGGAAAAAAGGGAGGCAGGGAGGGAGCUAACAAAGAUCCUGUGAUUAUGAAGUUCUUCUGUGCUCCCAGCAAGAUAUGCAAAUGAGGGAGGAUGUCAAGAGCCCCUUGCUGGCCCCUAGAGCAGUGGUUCUCAGCCUGUGGGUCUCUUAAGGGGAUCAAAAGACCCUUUCACAGGGGUCGCCUAAGACCAUCAGAAAACACAGAUAUUUACGUUGCCAUCCAAAACAGUAGCAAAAUUAUGGCUAUGAAGUAGAAAAGAAAAUAACUUUAUGGUUGGGGGUCACCACAGCAUGAGACUGUGUUGAAGGGUCUCAGCCUUAGAAAGGUUGAGAACCACUGGACUAGAGGCUUACUAGACCUUCAUCUUCUACGGAAAGGCCUUGUAUAUGUUUAUCUAUUUCCCACUGCCAAAAUAUAAAACAAAACAGAACAAACAAAAACUACACACACACACACACACACACACACACACACACACACACACACACACACACGUGUUUGAAUAAAGGAGUAACACCCAUCUUCCUUCCCAGGCACUGAGGCUUGGUAGGGUAGUGAGUAUUUUUACUAUACUGCAUUCUCUGACUCAGAAAUUCCAUACAUCCAUACCUUUCCUUUCCCUCCCCCUCCUUCCUCUCCUUCCCUCCCCUCAAUCUCUCUCUCUUUCUCCCCUCCCUUCCCCCUCUUCCCCAAUCUCUCUCGCUCUCUCUUUCUCCCUCUCCCUUCCCUUUCCCUUUCCCUCUCUCCCUCUGUCUCUCUCCCUUCUUCAUGUUCCGGAAGUUUAUCAUCCCAGACAGGUCUAACAUAGUUCUUAAGUUGUUGAAACGUCAUUUCUAAUCUCUUUACAUCAAAUACGGUCUGAAAUACUUAACAGGUGCUUUCCUGGGUAACACAGGAAGUUCUUCAUGCUAGCCAUCCCAAGAGCAUGAGUGUAGAUUGAAAUAUACACCCACAGCACCUGGUCAAGGCUGACUCCCCACGCAGGCAGCUAAUGGAUCUUCUGAAUGGCAUAGAGGGCAGAGCCCCCUGUCCUGGAUGCAUGGCAGGAGUCUGGCAGACAUAAAGCCGGAAUUGCUACCAUUUGUUGGCCACCUCGGGGAGGCUAGUAUUGCACAAACACUAAGGGGCAGUGCAAAAUGAACUCGUUGUCUGGCUUGAAGCAGCCCUGCGUUCUCCCUCUAACCACUCCCUGCCCUGUGCUCUGUGCUGGCUCUGUGAAUGUGCUCAACGAUAUAAGUAAAAGGGAAGUCAUCUUCAGGAACCGUGGCUAGUACAUCUGGCACCAUGGCCACUGUGGGAGAAAGCAGGUCUACACUGUCAAUGCCGCAGGUAGAUACGUCCCAACAGUUGUCUCUCAUCCCACCCCUGUAACUGGCCAUGUUAGAGUCUCUCCUGGUGGGCCUAACUUCCUGCCGGAUGACCUACCUGAUAUCUCCCAGCAUCUAUCUCACCAUCUGUUCCCAUAGCCUCUGCCAUAGCCUAGUCAGCCCUGAGAGGAAGCACAGAACCCCACACACGGCCUAGGGGACACCACUCAUCCUAUGCUGGCUUAGUUCAUCAGCCUGGAUCUGGUGCCUCCUUCUGGAAGCUGCCUCCUAGGUGUCAGCCAGCAUGAAUUCAGACACCAGAGAAGUCCACCCCCUGAAGCUUUGGGAGCUGCUACUUCAAAAACCACACAUUUAGGAAAUAUUCCCUGCUGCUUUGGGUGAGGCUGGGAGUGGAUAGCAGAGGGCAGCUGACUUUACUGCUAACGUCCAGGAGGUAUUCUGGUCUGAAUCCCCACCUGGGGGGACAGCUGUGUUUCCAAUAAAAGGCGUGGUCUCAGACAGGCCAUCACAAUUUGAUCGACUGGACUUGCACUUCACAGAUCCAGGGGGUGUUUUGACUUGCAUAUUAGUCCUAUGGGCGAGAUACUAGGUCACAAGGUGGGUGGUGUGACUCUGAUCAGGGGAUUGGGGUUCUCUGAUGGAUGAGAUGCUGGGUGGGGCUCCAGGGUCUCUGCAACCCUCGGCCAUGAUCUGGGCUUCCGCCCCCACCCCAUCUUCACACACCUUUUGCAUGUGUUGUGCUGCUUGCACACCAUCACGUACACACACACCGGCUCCCGUCCACUUGAAUAGGCUUUUAAAAUGGCCAUCUCUUGGCCACGCUCUCACUGAAAUUCUCCGACAAAGGCGAUGUUAUUUGAGGCGGUGGAUUUCAAACUAAACGUCACUCAACCUAUAGAAGCCAUCGAGCUGUAAAUAGGGUCCCAGUGUAGAGUAUCUUUCAAAUGAAGAAAAGGGGGCAGGAUGUACCCGGUAAUAAUGGUGGAGUUAAAUGAGCGAAGCUAGGCUAAACCCUCUCAAGAAGGUUGCAGUUUUUCACAGUUCUACCAAGGUAGAGCUGAGGACUGACAUCACCAGGCGGGAUGAUGUGCUGGAGAUGGGGCACUGCAAAAUAGGCUGAGCCUAUAAGAAGGCUGCUCCCAAAACAUUGCACAACGCCUAGUACACGGAGCUCAACCAGCACCUGCCUCAUGGGCAGAUAGCUUCUACUUGCCACCGAGAAUGAAGGGUGGAACCGCUUUGCCAUGAGACUACAAGGUCCACGGUCUCGCUCACAGGCUCACAUACCUGGACACCUGUAGAAGACACACAAACAUACCUGGACCCUCGUGAUGUGCAGGUACAGGGUACAGGCCACCAAGAAGCAGAUAGAAAACACCAGCAGCAGCAGGACAGCCACGCUCCUGGAGACGGAGAGUACACAGGUGGGGGUCAGGUAAGAUGAACCAGAUAGGUACCUCAGAACUGGGCCUCUCCUCCUGGCCCCCAUACCUAGAACCUCAGGAGGAAGCAUCCAAUAUCCAUUUGCCACGGGUCCCUGGGUAAUUACUUCACCUGGUUCUAUCCUCCUGAAGUCACAUGACGCCCCUAGGUGAGGUACCCAAGACCAUCACCAUUCUUACUACCUCACCUCAAAGUUUAGCCUUGACUGCAGGUGAGACCUUCCCUUCUAAUAGAGGAAGUGCCCAACUUCACAGAACUGUACUAUUGAUACCUGUCUAGGAAAGAUGUUUCUAGAAAACACCUAACCUAUAGGAAAAAAAAAUACCUAGUAGACUGCCAAGUUUACAGUUGUCUGUGUAGCCUACAGACAGGCUUCCUGUCCUUAGCAGGUAGAGAGAACUUCUGUGUGCCUUCUGGACACUUGAAGGAGACAUUAUGCCCUCAGGGUUGGUCACACUAGGAAACAUGUGCUGGAAGAAAAGGACAUUGGAGACAUCCCAUGUCUUCCUGGCCCCAAACAAACUCUGCAAACUUACACUGACUUAUAUGAUUCAAUUUCAUUUAAAUCGCUACAUUUCCUUCAUUUCAGAGUCAAUUUUUUUUUCUCAUGUGGAUGCUUUUAAAAGUGAUGUGGGCCCAGAAAGAAGAAAGGUCCUAUGCUCUCCCCUGAAGUCCCUCUGAGGACAACGGUGUAUGACAUGUAAUGGAGAAGCCAGAAACCACACAAAGUCUUAGAGUUCGGCAAAUUCAAAACUAAAAAGCAGUGAUCAUGUUAUAUGCCAACAGGCUUGUCAAGUUUCUAACGGGAGUGCAUGAAGAAGGAGGGCGGGUGGCCAGUGCUGUCCUCAAACGCUAGGCACAACAGGAGGGUAAUUGGGAAAUGGAUUCUGAGCAUAUUAGGACACCCAAGUCCAACCCCAGUGUUUGGUUCCAAAGUGAAAUGGGUUUGAACCCUUGGUCCUCAAACAGUGGCGUUCUUUGGGUAGGCUGUCAAACCUCUAGGAUGCGGAGCCGCAUGGGAGGAAGUGAGUCAUGGAGAAUGACCCCACUUCUAGAUCCAUUUUGAUGUGGGUGAACAGCCUCAGGCUCCCACCACCAGAGCUGAAAGUCUCUCCUGUCGCCACGCUUCUCCUGCCACGAUGAACUGUAGCUUCAAAUUGUGAGCCCAAAUCAACUCUUUGUUCCUUCAACUGUUUCCUAUCAGCUAUUCAGUCACAAGUACAAGUAAAACAACCAGUACCCCAAGAGACCUGGGGUUCUCAGUCACCUUUGCAUGUCACUGAUUAGCACAGGGACAGCAGCACUUACUGUGGGAUUACCAGAAGGUAGAUAAGCCCAAAUAAGGUAGCCAGGAUGAGGGCGAGGACAACGGCGCUGGUGAAGUACUCAUCUUGAAGCUGGUGGUACUGUGGAGGAAGGAGGGAAGAGCGGGUUAAGAGAGCGCAGAAUGGGGACAGAGAGAAAGAGAGAGAACCAAACAUUAAUCUGCCCAUCAGAAGACCAACAGAGCCUCGGGGACAAGGACGAAGUCCCCAAGUCACUUACUUUUUGUUCCCGUUCAACAUGCUUGUACUUGAGGGUAAAGAAGUUCAGGUCGGCCAUCUCCAGCUCUGUCUGGCGGGCUUCAAGAAGGCGGCUGAUGUACCUGUUGACACGCGUACCCGGAGUGGUGUAGACCACGUUGGUAGAGAAUGACGAACGGUUUCUGAGCUUCUCCGAGGCCGUUCUCAAUGCCCUUCGCUGCAGCCACCGCGGAAACAGAGAGAAGACUAUCAAAUGUGUCUUCAGCUUUUGAACAAAAGCACUCAUGUGCACCGCCAUCCGCCAUCCUGAUCUGCUAUUCAGAACCCUGAGAGGAUGUCAUAGCCCUGCCCCCUGCUGGCCGGAGAUGGCACAGGGGGUAUCCUACCACCCAGUACUCAGGUCCCCAGGUCUGUACUGCAGAUUACAGAAUGUCUGUUUGCUAUUAGUGUGGAAAGGGCUACAGAGGGAUACAGGAACGAAUGUGGCCAGGAGGAGCAGCCACCCUCACCUUCUAGCCACAUGUGUGGGAAGGGAUAUUGGGACAAGCCCACCUAUGCAAGAAGUUUGCUGCAAGGGCAGGUGGUCUCUGCCAUUGAUGGAGGAAUGGUAGGAAGUGACAGGUAGCCAGGGCCGAAAGGACCAGAGUGUGAACACCUCUUCCAUGCGUCCCGCCGCAGGUGUAGGAAUGUUCCAGCUUGUGGAAAAGAAAAACAGAGUCUGGUCCGAAGAUACCUGUGUGGUCUCACCCUGAGGGACUCAGCAGGAACUCUGAUGCUUCAAUACCUCGGCAGAAGACAGACUACCAAGGUAACCCAGUGCAGCAGCAGAGAGGACACAGCGAGCAAACUUCCCCUCCACGCUCCAACCAAACAGGGAAACACAGACGACGGACGCACAUAAACACAGCACUAUGAGGGUGGAAAGGGAGAGCAGGCUUUCAGAACACUGGGCCUCAAAGAGAACCAUGUGUGACAAGGGGGCCCUGUGGGGUAUCUUUUGUCAUAUCUAUCUCAGGCCAGGAGCUAGAGGAGACCACAGCCAGAAAGGUUUAGUGGGUGCAGGCCAUAAAAGAAACUGUUAAGGUCCACGAGAAGAGCCACGGACUCUGGCCAAACGAUCAAGAAUGGGAGAGCAGGAAAGGGCAAAUGGCCACACAACUGCAGGCAAAGCCCACGUGAAGGUCUGCAAGUUCCAAUUACACCAAACAGCCUGCUUUCUGAACUUGCAUCACAAAAUGGCACUCUGUCGCAUUGCGUUAGGUCCAAGGACACUAGGUACCCAGGGAUACUGGAGGCGGAAACCCCUUGGCGGAUCACCUUGAUCCACAAUCAGAAGUAUUUCCUAAAAUACGACAUCUAGUUCUUGCUCAAAGAAAAUAACAGCGUAAACAUUAACCUACAGAGAUCACUUCCUAGCCUAGUGCUCAUAGCUCAAAGCCUCAGAAUGGAUGGUAAAAUCCUAUAUAUCUUAAAAGAGUGAGAAUGAGGAAGAAUGACCUUGCUUAAUGCUAUCGUCUAGCUUAAUUAUAAAAUGGGAAAGAGACACAGCAGCACUGUUUAAAGUACAGAUUAUCAAUGACCAAGAAAGCCCAAGGUAACUUGAAAAGUCACUGCAGUCAGUAGUGAGACCAGCCAUUAUCUUCGGCAAACAAACUCGAAUAUGAUAGCCAUCUGUCGCCAUUUCUAAACAAAAAAAGCUCGGGAGACGGCCCAGAUAACGUUCGAUCAGGACUGGUAACAAGGAAGAAAACACACACUAUCCAGCACUUGGCAACACUCCAAGCUUGCUAAGUCAGACCCUGCAGAGGCAAAAGGCAGGGUUUAUACACACCAUGGACAGAGCAAGACGUUUGAGGGAGCCCAUGUUGGCAGAGCACUCCAAGAUCAAAGCAUUUACCAUUUAUUAGCCCAGGAGUCUCACCACAACCCCCGGCUACCCGCAUGCUGUUCAGUUAAGAUGACCAUGAAAACAGAUGUGCCCAGCGUCCACAAGCAUGAUGGUCCCUAGAAAGGAAGUCCCUGUUUGCCGAUAAGCUGCUUGGGAAGUCAGGCCUGAGCCUAGGCCUGAAGGCCAUUCAGCCAGGAAGAAAAGGCUUGGAUCUGUGUGGGCCACCAAAGGCCCAAGGGCGUUCCAGGGCAGAAAAGGCUCGGUGCAUGGUUACCACCGGCUUUGCACAUGAGCUGAUUUCCAGAAGGAAACAGAAGAGGAGAAGCAAGCCCAAAGGCUUGAUUUCUCUAUCAUACACACGAGUGGCUUAAAUCGAUAAGCUUAGAUUUAAAGCUAUACAAAACAGAGAGAGAGAGAGAGAGAGAGAGAGAGAGAGAGAGAGAGGGGGGGGGGAGGAAAUUUCUGGGUGUAGAAAACAGGGGAACAAAUAUGUCUCAAAUAUCAGAAAGCAACCAUAAAGAAGGCCCCAUGCCAACUGUGCCCCUCAGCAGGUACCACUGGAGAUGACGUUAUAAUCUCUGACCAGUGGCCCAUCCACGUGAGCAGAGCCAAGACAUGCCAGACACUCUUUGCAGAACUCCCAGGAAUUAAAACGCACUUUCAUGAACAAAAGUGCCAUGGCCCGCUUCGGUUCAUAAGAACAGAAAAGCCCCAGAUAUCAAUGCCAUAUAAGACAUCUCUCCUUAGGUUAGAAGUCUAUGCAAAGUCCGAAAACUCAAACUGAGGGAGAGCCAAUGACACAGGGGCACCUGUAUGAUACACAGAGGCAAGAGGAGGACAAACGGCCAGCCAAACUGCUUCUACAACACAUUGGAGUUCCUUAAAGCAACUCCAGUCCCCACAGAUAGGACACUGGAGGGUCACAGUACCAGGCCUUUAUCUGGUAGGGGGAUGGUGGUAGAUGACAAAUGUUUUUCCUUUGCUUUUCUGGUGCGCUUUUUUUUUUUUUUUUUUUUUUUUUUGUAUUUUGCAACAAAUAUCUUCUUGGGAAAGAAAGUAUCCAAAAGCCAAAUAGAAAGAUAGUAAAUGUGUUUGGGGGCAUCCAGGAGGUACUAACAACAGUGGCUGCCAGGGCUGCAGCAGAAACUGUUAAGCUGGUGGAAGAGAUACUACACAGGGGGCUCAUUAUUAAAAUUAUCUAUAAAUUUAUUCAUUCAAUUAUUAAAAGGACAUUAUUCAGUGACAGGAUUCACUGAAGACCUUGCAGAAGGCGCAGGGAUCAUGCAAACAGGUCCUUCGAUUUAACUCAGUGUGGCACAGCCACUGGAGAUAUACAGUCAAGGAGAAAGGAGGUCUCUGGACAGAGAGCUAUUCCAGAUAGACGUCAGAAGACAGAAGCGUUCUGAGUAAGUGAGCAGGAUUCCUGCUAAGAUUGCACACAUCUCUACGACAGGGUAUGAGAUGAGGAACCUGGCAGACUCUGAAGCCGAUGAGAGGCUAAGGAAGGGAAGACUCUUGCUAAAGCAAUGAACACCGGAUAUCCUGACAACACCGUGUGUGUGUGUGUGUGUGUGUGUGUGUGUGUGUGUGUGUGUGUGUGUGUGUGUGUUGGGGGGGGUGUCUGUACAUGUCUGUGUGAAUGUCUGCUGUCUGUAUGACUAGGACUAAAAUUCCUAUCUGUGACAGAAGCCAAGUUCUUAAUAAUGCAGCCUCCAGCUGCCUGGCACACAGAGAGACUCAUUUUUCCUGACCCGAUCCACCAUGAACAACGUCCUCAGAAUAUUCUCAGAUAAAGUUCUAGCAAAGAGGAACUCCCAUACAGAGAUCCUGCGGCAAGGAACCACCAUAAUCAAGAGGCAACAGAACCUUGCUUUGUCCUGAAAGAAACCUCUAACGAUACCAGGAAGAUUCUUUAAGUGGUAUAAAAAUCGGUGAUGUCAGAGAAAGCAGUGAUAGGAAAGGCAGCAGGGUUGACACCAGGUAAAGCCAGUGUAACCUCAGAGGGGUGGACAGAGAAGCCAUGGGGAGUCAGGCAACUUCAGUCUCACAUACUAGUGGGUUCAGUGGCUGUAGUCAAGAGCAUCCACAAGGGGGCAUCAGAGCCCUAAAGUGCACCCCAUGCUCUUUGGUAUGGAAAAUAAUGUGGGGCCUUUCCCAAAAAGGGAAAUCCAAGUCUCUGGCCAUGUGUGGUUGAAGUGAAGUCCUAGACACCACCACUGCCACAUGCCUAGAAGAUCUGAAGACCCACAAGUGACUGCCUGACUCAUCUGAGACGGAAAACCCUGAUGUCCACCAGAAACCCCCAUUGGAGACCCUGAUGUCCACCAGAAAGCUCACAGUGGAGCCUUGUGCCUGGCUUAGCCCUUGCAGCUGGCUUUGCCAUCCCUCAGCAUCAGGAACAUUGCAGAAAAGGCUCUGGGCGUCUGUGGGAUUACAGAUGAUGACAGAUAAGCUAAAGAGGAAAGCAAAAGCAAGCUGCUCGGAGAGAACAGAUGUUUCUGGGGGCAAGAAACUAUUUCUUUUAAAAAAAAUCUCAGUGAGAGGGCAGAGGAGAAGGCUCAGUGGCUGAAGCCAUGUAAAGCAAGAGUAAGGACAGGAACGCAGUUCCCAUGACCCAAGUCAAAGCCAGGGGGAAUGGUAGCCAGGCAGAGACAGCUGGUUCUUUGAGUCAGCUGAUUGGUUAGACCGUCAGUCUGGGUGAGCUCUGGGUUCCAUUAGAAGACCCUGCCUCGAAGAAUAACGUGAAGAAUAGUUAAGGAAGAUACCCAACAUCGACAUUCAGCCUCUGUGUGCACAUGACAUGUCCACAUGGGCACUUCUCCCAACAUGCACACACGCACACAUACAUACACACACACAUACACACACACACACACACACACACACAUACACACACAUACACACACACAUACACACACACACACACUCAAAAUAAAAUAAAAAUCUUGGGCUAGUGAGAUGGGUCAGUAGGGUAAGGCAUCUGGCACCAGGUUUGAUGACGGAGUUGGGGUCCUGGAACCCACAGAGUAGAAAGAGAAAAACCAACUCGUGCAAGCUGUCUUCCGACUUCCACGAGCAUCCCACGGAACGCAGGCAAGCGCGUGCAUGCUUACCCACAAAUAUAAAGUUAAAAAUAUUUCAGUGGGCAGACAAAACUGGGGCUAGUCUGACAUAUUUAUGAAUCCCUGGGUUCAAGCCCCUGCAUGGAAUAAACCAGACGUGAUGGUGCACAUCUGUAAUCCCCACGUUUGGGAGGUAGGGUAGGAGAACCAGAAGUUCAAGGUCCAUCCUCAGCUACGAAGUGAGUGUCCAGGCCAGCCUGUGGUUUCUGUCACGGACUACAACUUCAUAAGGGAAUUAUUCACAAAGACACAGACUUCCUGGGAUUUUUAAGAAUUUUGAAAUGUUCCAUAGAAACGUUGGGACAGGAAAGCUGAAAAACCUUUCCAGAAAAUAGAAGGAAAGGGGUGGUGAUAUGGGAGGAGAUCUUGAGCCAUCUUGAGAACUUCAACAUCCACAUAACAGGCCCUCCAGGAAAAAUAAAAGAAGAAAGCGGGGAACGUGAGCUUGGAGCUGGAUAAACACAAAGUACAAAGCACUAUACGGAUGUGUGCAGCAGUGGCAGCAGCAGCAGCAAGGAGUGUUAUAGCUCGAACGCGCCUCAGGCUUUCCUACCUUGUCAUCAUCCUCACAGGUCAUUACGUUGGAGAAGGGGAUCUCAGCCUUGAACAUUUUCCGGCAAUGCAUGAGCUGCACCAGCAGGUAGCAGACGGUCUUGAACUUCAUCCUCUUGGCUGGUUUGAUAUCCGAGAGAAUCAAACCUGGAAAUAUCUACCCAAACACAAGCACAGGGGAAAACACUGUCAGUGAGGCAGAUCUUGACCCUCAGGCUAGAAAUACAGCCUUAAUGGUGACAGGAACUCCAGGAUACUAAAAUUAGGUUGCUUGGUACCUCCUGCAUGCCAGGAAUCCGGGAAUGGACCAGGUACCCGGCCAUGAAGACUCCAAACUAGUGAAAUCCACUGGGGCUCGGAGUAAAUGUCACCUCAAAGCUCCCUUGUCCCAGCAUGCUUUGUUCUACACACAACAGAAGCCAGAAGACUAGGUAGGUGACAGCGGCAAGCCUCUGCCUAACAGACUGCCAUGGGCCCUCAUCUGUACCACAGAGAACUGUCUGCUCACCCCAUGACUUUCUCAAGACCAAAUGAGCAAAUAUGGAAAGGAAAGGCCCAGGGAUCAGGCUCUCUUGCACUUGCUGGGUAUCCAUCAUCCAACAGUGAGCCCAAGGCUGCCUCCUCCACAGGAGUUCUGAACCCAGGUCUUCUCCAAGACGCAGGUAAAGUGUCCACAGCCUCACUUUCAGCUGCCCCUGCCUCAACAAUCCAACUACUUCUUACAGUUCAAUCCACCGGCCUCUACAGGUACAGCCAUAAUUUCACCACAGAAGCACCCCUCUUCUUUGACAUUCUCUUUCUUCCCUCUCACCACCUGGCAACUCCAAGUCCAACAGAGAUAUUCUUUUGACCUCUUCCCUCUCUAUGUCUGUCUCUCUCAGUCUCUCAGUCAGCCUCUCUCUCUCUCUCUCCCUCUCUCUCUCUCUCUCUCUCUCUCUCUCUCUCUCUCUCUCUCUCUCUCUCUCUCUUCCACAAGU